This 406-nucleotide ribosomal RNA is filed under the name uncultured bacterium. RNAcentral describes it as "bacterial SSU rRNA". It matches the Rfam family "Bacterial small subunit ribosomal RNA", at positions 359 to 776 of the family's 1533-position model. The record is from RNAcentral.
GAAUAUUGCACAAUGGGCGAAAGCCUGAUGCAGCGACGCCGCGUGAGGGAUGAAGGCUUUCGAGUUGUAAACCUCUUUCAGUGGGGACGAAGCGCAAGUGACGGUACCCACAGAAGAAGCCCCGGCCAACUACGUGCCACCAGCCGCGGUAAUACGUAGGGGGCGAGCGUUGUCCGGAUUUACUGGGCGUAAAGAGCUCGUAGGCGGCUUGGCAAGUCGGCCGUGAAAAUCCGAGGCUCAACCACGGGAGGCCGGUCGAAACUGCCAUGGCUUGGGUCCGGUAGAGGAGAGUGGAAUUCCCGGUGUAGCGGUGAAAUGCGCAGAUAUCGGGAGGAACACCAGUAGCGAAGGCGGCUCUCUGGGCCGGUACCGACGCUGAGGAGCGAAAGCGUGGGGAGCAAACAGG